Molecule: ribosomal RNA, 644 nt
Filed under: Bacillus mojavensis
Lineage: Bacteria; Bacillati; Bacillota; Bacilli; Caryophanales; Bacillaceae
Description: bacterial SSU rRNA
Rfam family: Bacterial small subunit ribosomal RNA
Source: RNAcentral
GAAAAGCCCCCGGCUUCAACCGGGGAGGGUCAUUUGGAAACUGGGGAACUUUGAGUGCAGAAGAGGAGAGUGGAAUUCCACGUGUAGCGGUGAAAUGCGUAGAGAUGUGGAGGAACACCAGUGGCGAAGGCGACUCUCUGGUCUGUAACUGACGCUGAGGAGCGAAAGCGUGGGGAGCGAACAGGAUUAGAUACCCUGGUAGUCCACGCCGUAAACGAUGAGUGCUAAGUGUUAGGGGGUUUCCGCCCCUUAGUGCUGCAGCUAACGCAUUAAGCACUCCGCCUGGGGAGUACGGUCGCAAGACUGAAACUCAAAGGAAUUGACGGGGGCCCGCACAAGCGGUGGAGCAUGUGGUUUAAUUCGAAGCAACGCGAAGAACCUUACCAGGUCUUGACAUCCUCUGACAAUCCUAGAGAUAGGACGUCCCCUUCGGGGGCAGAGUGACAGGUGGUGCAUGGUUGUCGUCAGCUCGUGUCGUGAGAUGUUGGGUUAAGUCCCGCAACGAGCGCAACCCUUGAUCUUAGUUGCCAGCAUUCAGUUGGGCACUCUAAGGUGACUGCCGGUGACAAACCGGAGGAAGGUGGGGAUGACGUCAAAUCAUCAUGCCCCUUAUGACCUGGGCUACACACGUGCUACAAUGGACA